This 440-nucleotide ribosomal RNA is filed under the name uncultured bacterium. Its description in RNAcentral is "partial 16S ribosomal RNA". It matches the Rfam family "Bacterial small subunit ribosomal RNA", at positions 339 to 795 of the family's 1533-position model. The record is from RNAcentral.
CUACGGGACGCUGCAGUGAGGAAUAUUGCACAAUGGGGGGAACCCUGAUGCAGCAACGCCGCGUGGAGGAUGACGCAUUUCGGUGUGUAAACUCCUUUUAUAUGUCAAGAAAAUGACGGUAGCAUAUGAAUAAGCACCGGCUAACUCCGUGCCAGCAGCCGCGGUAAUACGGAGGGUGCAAGCGUGUACUCGGAAUCACUGGGCGUAAAGGACGCGUAGGCGGGUUGGACAGUCAGGUGUGAAAUCCUACAGCUUAACUGGAGAACUGCACUUGAAACUUCUAAUCUAGAGUAUGGGAGGGGGAGAUGGAAUUAGUGGUGUAGGGGUAAAAUCCGUAGAUAUCACUAGGAAUACCUAAAGCGAAGGCGAUCUCCUGGAACAUUACUGACGCUAAGGCGUGAAAGCGUGGGGAGCAAACAGGAUUAGAUACCCGUGUAGUC